Molecule: non-coding RNA, 284 nt
Organism: Styela clava
Lineage: Eukaryota; Metazoa; Chordata; Ascidiacea; Stolidobranchia; Styelidae
Source: RefSeq, a predicted model, not a curated record
AGGCUUUAAAGAAGUGCUUCAAUCUUCCAUUGUAAAUUACCAAGAUUCCGUAUCAUCCAACCGUUCUAUUGAUGAAAGUACCACGUUUGUCGUCGGCUACACUGUUUAUAUGAACCGUCCUUCUGAUUGGCCAAAUUUUAACCAAUCUUUGUUCAUCUCUGAUCUGAACAAUGUCCUCAAGCAAAACAGUUCAAUCCGUGCAUUCUUCACCAAUUUUACUUCAUCGAUAACUGUUAUCUCGGCAACUGCAGAUAUUGAUGAAUGUGCGUCUGGGUUAUAUACGU